AUGAAUAUUUUAAGCCUGAACUGUCGGGGCUGCGGGCGGUCCGAGACAGUUCAAGAAAUCUGCAACUUGGUACAGUUGCAUCGCCCCGGUUUGGUUUUUCUCUCGGAGACCAAAUUGUCUGCUACGAGAGCGCAGGAGAUGAGAUUCUGGUUGGGUUUCAGGCAUGGUUUUGGUGUCAGUAGUGAGGGAUUGAGCGGAGGCCUGGUAUUAUUUUGGAAUAGUGAUUCAGUGGUCUCCCUAAAAUCCUAUAGUAGGACACACAUCGAUGUUUUUGUUCAGAACGAUGCCACGGGAAGUAGGGAGUGGCGAUUCACAGGAUUCUAUGGGGAUCCGAGGAGAUCAAGGAGGAAAAUGAGCUAG
This 360-nucleotide ribosomal RNA is filed under the name Triticum aestivum (bread wheat). Its description in RNAcentral is "partial small subunit ribosomal RNA". Lineage: Eukaryota; Viridiplantae; Streptophyta; Magnoliopsida; Poales; Poaceae. The record is from RNAcentral.